GCCUGGAAUGGAGAAUUUUUACUCAACAGUAUACAGCAAAAUUCUAAAUACACUGUUUGGAAGUGCGCCUGUCAGAUGCGGAACGUACAGAUAAGGUAAUAGGUAACAGGUGAAUAUACUAUUGGUAUCAGUGUCGGACUCGAUCCGGAACUUCUUAAUUAUUGGCAAUAUUAAUUACGUGGAAAACAAAUGGGCCUAGAGUGGUGUAAUUUUUAAUCAACACCAUUGUACUAUAUUAGUUAUAUAUAAAGUUGAAUUCUUUGAUUCAUCGUUUUUACGUGAUGACGGCUGACAAAUUGGACCUCGUAAUUAGUAUUAUAGAU
Molecule: long non-coding RNA, 323 nt
Filed under: Mytilus galloprovincialis (Mediterranean mussel)
Lineage: Eukaryota; Metazoa; Mollusca; Bivalvia; Mytilida; Mytilidae
Source: RNAcentral